UACGAAGGGGGCUAGCGUUGUCCGGAUUUAUUGGGCGUAAAGAGCGUGUAGGCGGCCAUGCAGGUCCGUUGUGAAAACUCGAGGCUCAACCUCGAGACGCCGAUGGAAACCAUCUAGCUAGAGUCCGGAAGAGGAGAGUGGAAUUCCUGGUGUAGCGGUGAAAUGCGCAGAUAUCAGGAAGAACACCCGUGGCUAAGGCGGCUCUCUAGUACGGUACUGACGCUGAGACGCGAAAGCGUGGGGAGCGAACAGG
This 253-nucleotide ribosomal RNA is filed under the name uncultured bacterium. Its description in RNAcentral is "partial 16S ribosomal RNA". It matches the Rfam family "Bacterial small subunit ribosomal RNA", at positions 524 to 776 of the family's 1533-position model. The record is from RNAcentral.